UCUUCGGUAGUAUAGUGGUUAGUAUUCCCGCCUGUCAUCCGAUAGAACGCGGGCGACCGGGGUUCAAUUCCCCGCCGAAGAG
RNAcentral lists this transfer RNA (82 nucleotides) under Ascodesmis nigricans. It matches the Rfam family "tRNA". From Rfam's summary of the family: Transfer RNA (tRNA) molecules are approximately 80 nucleotides in length. Their secondary structure includes four short double-helical elements and three loops (D, anti-codon, and T loops). Lineage: Eukaryota; Fungi; Ascomycota; Pezizomycetes; Pezizales; Ascodesmidaceae. The record is from Rfam by way of RNAcentral.